RNAcentral lists this ribosomal RNA (859 nucleotides) under uncultured organism. Its description in RNAcentral is "bacterial SSU rRNA". It matches the Rfam family "Bacterial small subunit ribosomal RNA", at positions 527 to 1382 of the family's 1533-position model. The record is from RNAcentral.
AUAGGGGUCAAGCGUUGUCCGGAUUUAUUGGGCGUAAAGAGCUCGUAGGCGGUUCAACAAGUCGGUCGUAAAAGUUUAGGGCUCAACCCUAAAAUGUCGAUCGAUACUGUUGUGACUAGGAUACGGUAGAGGUGAAUGGAAUUCCGAGUGUAGCGGUGAAAUGCGUAGAUAUUCGGAGGAACACCAAUUGCGAAGGCAGUUCACUGGACCGUGAUCGACGCUGAGGAGCGAAAGCUAGGGGAGCAAACAGGAUUAGAUACCCUGGUAGUCCUAGCUGUAAACGAUGGAUACUAGAUGUAGGAACUGGAUUGACGGUUUCUGUAUCGUAGCUAACGCGUUAAGUAUCCCGCCUGGGGAGUACGGUCGCAAGACUAAAACUCAAAGGAAUUGACGGGACCCCGCACAAGCGGCGGAGCAUGCGGCUUAAUUCGAUGAUACCCGUAGAACCUUACCUGGACUUGACAUAUAGGGAAAAACUGGAGAAAUCCAGUGUGCGUAAGCGCCCUUUACAGGUGGUGCAUGGCUGUCGUCAGCUCGUGUCGUGAGAUGUUGGGUUAAGUCCCGCAACGAGCGCAACCCCUGUCCUAUGUUGCCAGCAAGUAAUGUUGGGGACUCAUAGGAGACUGCCGGUGAUAAACCGGAGGAAGGUGGGGAUGACGUCAAGUCAUCAUGCCCCUUAUGUCCAGGGCUGCACGCAUGCUACAAUGGCAAGUACAACGAGUCGCAAUACCGCGAGGUGGAGCAAAUCUCUUAAAGCUUGUCUCAGUUCGGAUAGGAGUCUGCAACUCGACUCCCUUGAAGUUGGAGUCGCUAGUAAUCGCAAAUCAGCAAAGUUGCGGUGAAUACGUUCUCGGGGUUU